AUGGCUUACUAUUCAGAUCAUCAUGCUUAUGCGAGCAACACUACAAACAGCACGGAAAGUAUUCAAGACCUGAUAAGCCAUUCACCCGCUGAAUGUCAGCGUGGUUACUCUCACCCUCCCGAUAGUUAUGGCAUGAGCUUCGCCCCACAACCUAGCUCAUACCAAAACAAUUACUCACAUGGGUGGCCUGAAAACCCGAAUAUGUCAUAUAGGAGCAACAACCCUGAGAUCUCAUCGUUUGCCUCUAGUUAUCCAAUGCAGGGAUUUAGGUACAAUGAGGAGAGCCACAACUAUGCUCCACAACAGAUUUAUUCAGCUCCUACUCAUAUACCUCAACACUAG
RNAcentral lists this ribosomal RNA (342 nucleotides) under Triticum aestivum (bread wheat). RNAcentral describes it as "partial small subunit ribosomal RNA". Lineage: Eukaryota; Viridiplantae; Streptophyta; Magnoliopsida; Poales; Poaceae. The record is from RNAcentral.